Molecule: transfer RNA, 84 nt
Filed under: Acidimicrobiales bacterium
Lineage: Bacteria; Bacillati; Actinomycetota; Acidimicrobiia; Acidimicrobiales
Description: tRNA-Leu
Rfam family: tRNA
About the family: Transfer RNA (tRNA) molecules are approximately 80 nucleotides in length.
Source: RNAcentral
GCGCGAGUGGUGGAAUUGGCAGACACGCAGGAUUCAGGUUCCUGUGUCUUAACGGACGUGAGGGUUCAAGUCCCUCCUCGCGCA